Nylanderia fulva is the source of this 1042-nucleotide non-coding RNA. NCBI's taxonomy places the organism in Eukaryota, Metazoa, Arthropoda, Insecta, Hymenoptera, Formicidae. The record is from RefSeq and is a predicted model, not a curated record.
UCCGGUUGAUCCAGAUUUUUCUCGUACGAAUGCAAUCGCUAAUUCUCUCAUUUCCGUAAUACCAUUCAGCAUUGUAACAUUUAUAAUACGCGUAGAGAGGAUCGUCACUCUCACGAUAUUCGUCCAGCUCUAACUCGUUCGCGUUUUCUCAAUUACCGAGCUCGCAAACGGGGACAAGCGGAAGGAGACACUCCCGAGGAACGAGGAAGAAAACGAGAAGACGUCUGUCAAGCUCGCUCACGCGCGCAGCCACCUAUGCACGUGCAUAAAAGCGAUCUCGCUUCGUCAGUCAGUGCGCUUCCACGUGCUUGCUGCACUCGGGCAUAUGAAUCUUGCGCCGAGAUUGGCGCGUCGCCAGGACCUCGUUGCCCGCGGUGGAAAAGGCGCGAAACAUCUAAGAAUAACGCCGCGCCGAACUAAAUUGAUAUCCUCCGACACGCGUGAAUGCCGCACCUCGGAUGAGGAGCCCGCGAAAGGAGUCUCGCGUCGCCGAUGCAGCGAGAGGUCUCGAUGGAUCGCAGGAGGAUGGGGACCAACGGAGCGAGCACUCUACGCGAGACCGACGCGACGAGAGAGAGAGAGAGAGAAGAGGGCAACGUCAAUUCGCGGCAGCACGUGCAGCCGCGUAAGAACGACCUUGGGGGUCAGUGCUCUCCUCUCGCGUAAGCAGGCCAUAGUACAUAGUACGUUGACGCGAAUCGAUCGCGUCUCUCUCUCUCUCUCUUCUCUCUCUCCCAUUGAGAUAGGCGACGCGACGUCGAUAAAGGAGCGUGGAGAAGAGAAGGGGUAAAACGCGACGCGGCAAAGGGAGGCAGAGGGAUUCCUCUCCGCGUCGUCGUAUUGAGCGCGACGCCUCCGCUUAGGGGAGAGUUUGGGCGUGGAUCUCUUUGGGGUGAAAGUACUCCCGCGCUUUUCCAGGUGGCAUGUCUCCGAGUCCUUUUUUUCCUCCGGACUCUCCCGGGAGCUCACAUCGACGGAUUUCAGGAUUAUUAAGAUAUGUCAAUCGUAAUUAAUAUAAAUCAAUGAGUUUUCUUAACUUUAA